UACGUAUGGUGCAAGCGUUAUCCGGAUUUACUGGGUGUAAAGGGAGCGCAGGCGGCACGGCAAGCCUGAUGUGAAAGCCCGCGGCCCAACCGCGGGACUGCAUUGGGAACUACCGGGCUGGAGUGCCGGAGAGGUAGGCGGAAUUCCUAGUGUAGCGGUGAAAUGCGUAGAUAUUAGGAGGAACACCAGUGGCGAUGGCGGCCUACUGGACGGUGACUGACGCUGAGGCUCGAAAGCGUGGGGAGCAAACAGG
This 253-nucleotide ribosomal RNA is filed under the name uncultured bacterium. Its description in RNAcentral is "partial 16S ribosomal RNA". It matches the Rfam family "Bacterial small subunit ribosomal RNA", at positions 524 to 776 of the family's 1533-position model. The record is from RNAcentral.